This 484-nucleotide ribosomal RNA is filed under the name uncultured bacterium. RNAcentral's name for it is "partial 16S ribosomal RNA". It matches the Rfam family "Bacterial small subunit ribosomal RNA", at positions 29 to 507 of the family's 1533-position model. The record is from RNAcentral.
AUUGAACGCUGGCGGCAUGCUUUACACAUGCAAGUCGAACGGCGGCGCGGGCUUCGGCCUGGCGGCGAGUGGCGAACGGGUGAGUAAUACAUCGGAACGUGCCCAGUAGUGGGGGAUAGCUCGGCGAAAGCCGGAUUAAUACCGCAUACGACCUGAGGGUGAAAGCGGGGGAUCUUCGGACCUCGCGCUAUUGGAGCGGCCGAUGGCAGAUUAGCUAGUUGGUGGGGUAAAGGCCUACCAAGGCGACGAUCUGUAGCUGGUCUGAGAGGACGACCAGCCACACUGGGACUGAGACACGGCCCAGACUCCUACGGGAGGCAGCAGUGGGGAAUUUUGGACAAUGGGCGGAAGCCUGAUCCAGCAAUGCCGCGUGUGUGAUGAAGGCCUUCGGGUUGUAAAGCACUUUUGGCGGGAACGAAAAGGACUGUGCCAAUACCACGGUUCGAUGACGGUACCCGCAGAAUAAGCACCGGCUAACUACGUG